This 468-nucleotide ribosomal RNA is filed under the name uncultured bacterium. RNAcentral's name for it is "partial 16S ribosomal RNA". It matches the Rfam family "Bacterial small subunit ribosomal RNA", at positions 28 to 507 of the family's 1533-position model. The record is from RNAcentral.
GACGAACGCUGGCGGCGUGCUUAACACAUGCAAGUCGAACGGAAAGGCCCUGCUUUUGUGGGGUGCUCGAGUGGCGAACGGGUGAGUAACACGUGAGUAACCUGCCCUUGACUUUGGGAUAACUUCAGGAAACUGGGGCUAAUACCGGAUAGGAGCUCCUGCUGCAUGGUGGGGGUUGGAAAGUUUCGGCGGUUGGGGAUGGACUCGCGGCUUAUCAGCUUGUUGGUGGGGUAGUGGCUUACCAAGGCUUUGACGGGUAGCCGGCCUGAGAGGGUGACCGGCCACAUUGGGACUGAGAUACGGCCCAGACUCCUACGGGAGGCAGCAGUGGGGAAUAUUGCACAAUGGGCGGAAGCCUGAUGCAGCAACGCCGCGUGCGGGAUGACGGACUUCGGGUUGUAAACCGCUUUCGCCUGUGACGAAGCGUGAGUGACGGUAAUGGGUAAAGAAGCACCGGCUAGCUACGUG